RNAcentral lists this ribosomal RNA (508 nucleotides) under uncultured bacterium. RNAcentral describes it as "bacterial SSU rRNA". It matches the Rfam family "Bacterial small subunit ribosomal RNA", at positions 15 to 518 of the family's 1533-position model. The record is from RNAcentral.
GAUUAUGGCUCAGGAUGAACGCUAGCGGCAGGCUUAACACAUGCAAGUCGAGGGGCAACGCGAGUAGCAAUACUUGGCGGCGGCCGGCGCAAGGGUGCGUAACGCGUGAGCAACAUGCCCGUAUCAGGGGGAUAAUCCAGGGAAACUUGGUCUAAUACCCCAUAGUAAUUUUGUAAGGCAUCUUAUAAGAUUUAAAGCUUUGGUGGAUACGGAUUGGCUCGCGUGACAUUAGCUGGAUGGUAAGGUAACGGCUUACCAUGGCUAUGAUGUCUAGGGGUUCUGAGAGGAAGGUCCCCCACACUGGAACUGAGACACGGUCCAGACUCCUACGGGAGGCAGCAGUGAGGAAUAUUGGACAAUGGAUGGAAAUCUGAUCCAGCCAUGCCGCGUGAAGGAAGAAGGUCCUAUGGAUUGUAAACUUCUUUUGUAUGGGAGCAAUAAGGCCUACGAGUAGGUUGAUGAGAGUACCAUACGAAUAAGCACCGGCUAACUCCGUGCCAGCAGCCGC